Molecule: ribosomal RNA, 46 nt
Filed under: Styphelia tameiameiae
Lineage: Eukaryota; Viridiplantae; Streptophyta; Magnoliopsida; Ericales; Ericaceae
Description: partial 18S ribosomal RNA
Source: RNAcentral
UAACAAGGUUUCCGUAGGUGAACCUGCGGAAGGAUCAUUGUCGAAA